UGAGUACAAUUUAAAUACCUUAACGAGGAACAAUUGGAGGGCAAGUCUGGUGCCAGCAGCCGCGGUAAUUCCAGCUCCAAUAGCGUAUAUUAAAGUUGUUGCAGUUAAAAAGCUCGUAGUUGAACCUUGGGCCUGGCUGGCCGGUCCGCCUCACCGCGUGUACUGGUCCGGCCGGGCCUUUCCUUCUGGAGAUCCGCAUGCCCUUCACUGGGUGUGCUGGGGAACCAGGACUUUUACUUUGAGAAAAUUAGAGUGUUCAAAGCAGGCCUUUGCUCGAAUACGUUAGCAUGGAAUAAUAGAAUAGGACGUGCGGUCCUAUUUUGUUGGUUUCUAGAACCGCCGUAAUGAUUAAUAGGGAUAGUCGGGGGCGUCAGUAUUCAAUUGUCAGAGGUGAAAUUCUUGGAUCUAUUGAAGACUAACUACUGCGAAAGCAUUCGCCAAGGAUGUUUUCAUUAAUCAGUGAACGAAAGUUAGGGGAUCGAAGACGAUCAGAUACCGUCGUAGUCUUAACCGUAAACUAUGCCGACUAGGGAUCGGGCGAUGUUUCUAUAUUGACUCGCUCGGCACCUUACGAGAAAUCAUAAG
Molecule: ribosomal RNA, 585 nt
Filed under: Neoroussoella alishanense
Lineage: Eukaryota; Fungi; Ascomycota; Dothideomycetes; Pleosporales; Thyridariaceae
Description: SSU rRNA
Rfam family: Eukaryotic small subunit ribosomal RNA
Source: RNAcentral